RNAcentral lists this ribosomal RNA (504 nucleotides) under uncultured bacterium. Its description in RNAcentral is "partial 16S ribosomal RNA". It matches the Rfam family "Bacterial small subunit ribosomal RNA", at positions 30 to 523 of the family's 1533-position model. The record is from RNAcentral.
AUUGAACGCUGGCGGCAGGCCUAACGCAUGCAAGUCGAACGGUAGCACAGAGAGCUUGCUCUCGGGUGACGAGUGGCGGACGGGUGAGUAAUGUCUGGGAAACUGCCUGAUGGAGGGGGAUAACUACUGGAAACGGUAGCUAAUACCGCAUAAUGUCGCAAGACCAAAGAGGGGGACCUUCGGGCCUCUUGCCAUCGGAUGUGCCCAGAUGGGAUUAGCUUGUUGGUGAGGUAAAAGCUCACCAAGGCGACGAUCCCUAGCUGGUCUGAGAGGAUGACCAGCCACACUGGAACUGAGACACGGUCCAGACUCCUACGGGAGGCAGCAGUGGGGAAUAUUGCACAAUGGGCGCAAGCCUGAUGCAGCCAUGCCGCGUGUGUGAAGAAGGCCUUCGGGUUGUAAAGCACUUUCAGCGGGGAGGAAAGCGGUGAGUUUAAUAAGCUCACCGAUUGACGUUACCCGCAGAAGAAGCACCGGCUAACUCCAUGCCAGCCGCCGCAGUAA